AGACUCUCCUUCCCAAUCAAAUUUAAUUCUGCUUUUAAUGCCAAAGAGUAAGGUGGAUCCUCUCUAAUUCUAAUUUUCUCCGCAGGUGUAAUGCUUGUAUAGCCCUGGAGACCAUGCCCCAGUUUUCCACAUCCAAAACAGAAGGUUGGCAAUUUUUCAUACUUGAAAGGGAUCCAGCAUUUAUUCCCAUUCCCUGUUGACACAAAUAUACCUCUACGAAUUGGUUUUUGCACAUUGAGCUGUAUUCUAAGGCGACAAAACUCACCGCUAAUUUCAGAUCUGAUCACUCCACCGAACGUGACCCCUACAGCAUGCAGAAGAUCCUUUUUAUCAAACACUGGUAAACAGGGUCCAAUUUUAAUCCAAAACGGAGAUGAAACAAGCGUAAUUUGGUCUCUCGUUGUCGGCUUAAAAAUCCGGUCAAAAGUAAUUAAAUUCUUCCUAAACAACCAUGGUUGGCCUUCCAUCACAGAUUCCAAAUCAUCCUCUGAUUCAAACGUUAUCAAAAAAAGAUUUUUCCCCACCAAUUGAAUCUCAAACUUUUCCUUUGUUUUCCAGAUACUUUUCAUCUGUGCUUUGAAACUAUCAUGAUUAUAAGAUUUAUUUGUCCAAACAGAACAGAUCAGAGAAGGUUUACCGUUUGGCUCCACCAUCGAGCUUUUGACCGAUAGUUGAGUAAGUUCCUCUUCUAAUAGGGAGAUCUCGUCUCUCCGAACCCCGUUGAUGCCACCACUCUCCAUCAUCCCAAGCCACAGCAGCCACUGUUUUCGCUAGGACACCAAGGAUUGCACUCUUGGCUUCUAGGGUUUUUUCAGUCGGUUGAAAAAACUUAAUUAUUAUUAUUUUUGAUUAAUAAAAUAUUAUUUUUAUUGAAGAUAAGUUAUCAUUUUUAACAUCCCUAACCCUAAACUGUCGCCGGAAUGGGGUUACGAGGCAUUACCGG
This 943-nucleotide long non-coding RNA is filed under the name Gossypium raimondii (Peruvian cotton). Its description in RNAcentral is "long non-coding RNA (GRAI_LNC007285)". Lineage: Eukaryota; Viridiplantae; Streptophyta; Magnoliopsida; Malvales; Malvaceae. The record is from RNAcentral.